RNAcentral lists this long non-coding RNA (500 nucleotides) under Marmota monax (woodchuck). The record is from RNAcentral. Lineage: Eukaryota; Metazoa; Chordata; Mammalia; Rodentia; Sciuridae.
CUUAUCUUUACCCAAUUACUACCUUGCCUAUGACUUUGGGAUAGACCUUUCCCUCUGUAGGUCUGAGUUGUCCCCUUGUCCCAUGAGAGGUCGGCUAGGUUAUUUCCAGUGCCCACCCAAUUCUGCCAUCUGUGGUGCUCAUCCUUUGCCUUUGUUUCUUAGAGAGAUUAAACUAACCCCCAUUGAGCCUGAGUUUUCUAUCAUUGGCCACUUGUCUUUGGUGGGCUGCUGCCGAUACCUACUUGUCCUGGGACCUGUUAGUUCUGGUGGGUGAUUCUGCUGCUGGUCUGCAGAGCAGAGGGUACCCAGCCUGUUGCGGCAUAGCCUCUGGUCACUGCCCAGGCUUGAUUCUCUCUUUACUCUAUGGCUCUUCUCCCUCCCUCAGUUCCUCAGUCAUUCAGCCAGAACACUUCAGUGCAGGAUCUGGGAGCAGAGACCUGGGAAUGGCAUAGUUUUUGCCUGUGGAGAGCUCAUCACCUGAAAUGUGAGCAUGACUAGCA